Molecule: long non-coding RNA, 385 nt
Organism: Puntigrus tetrazona (Sumatra barb)
Lineage: Eukaryota; Metazoa; Chordata; Actinopteri; Cypriniformes; Cyprinidae
Exons: 2
Source: RefSeq, a predicted model, not a curated record
CCCAGAACUGUCAGAGGGGAAAAAAUCUGAAUAUUAGAAAUAUCUAGAUACGGAGCAUGGUUGCCGGUCAUCAGCUAUGUCCCAAAAAACAACCGCGCGCCCCUAUCGCGAGAUGUCGAGGGGAACUUCGCAGUACUACAAAUGGAGAAGUUUAAGGAGGCAUACGCGCACCAUAAUGGCAGACAGUAGCGAGAAACCAAAAGACGCAUGUACAGUUCUGCAAAUGUCAUAAACGUUCUGGGAGUAUACGACAAUGUUUGUCAAAAAAAACUGAAUUCGAAUGCAUUAUUCAACAAAAAGCAUGGUUUCUAUACAAGGCUGCGUGUCUACGGCAGCAGUUCACUCCGAUUCGCGACAUGAAAUAAAACGCCUGUAACUUCUUAAA